ACGUGGGGAGGAGCUUGCUCCGCCCCGACGACGAGUGGCGAACGGGUGAGUAAUACAUCGGAACGUGUCCGCUCGUGGGGGACAACCAGCCGAAAGGUUGGCUAAUACCGCAUGAGUUCUACGGAAGAAAGAGGGGGACCCGCAAGGGCCUCUCGCGAGCGGAGCGGCCGAUGACUGAUUAGCCGGUUGGUGAGGUAACGGCUCACCAAAGCAACGAUCAGUAGCUGGUCUGAGAGGACGACCAGCCACACUGGGACUGAGACACGGCCCAGACUCCUACGGGAGGCAGCAGUGGGGAAUUUUGGACAAUGGGCGCAAGCCUGAUCCAGCUAUUCCGCGUGUGGGAUGAAGGCCCUCGGGUUGUAAACCACUUUUGUAGAGAACGAAAAGACACCAUCGAAUAAAUGGUGUUGCUGACGGUACUCUAAGAAUAAGCACCGGCUAACUACGUGCCAGCAGCCGCGGUAAUACGUAGGGUGCGAGCGUUAAUCGGAAUUACUGGGCGUAAAGGGUGCGCAGGCGGUUGAGUAAGACAGAUGUGAAAUCCCCGAGCUUAACUCGGGAAUGGCAUAUGUGACUGCUCGACUAGAGUGUGUCAGAGGGAGGUGGAAUUCCACGUGUAGCAGUGAAAUGCGUAGAU
RNAcentral lists this ribosomal RNA (640 nucleotides) under uncultured beta proteobacterium. Its description in RNAcentral is "bacterial SSU rRNA". It matches the Rfam family "Bacterial small subunit ribosomal RNA", at positions 66 to 695 of the family's 1533-position model. Lineage: Bacteria; Pseudomonadati; Pseudomonadota; Betaproteobacteria. The record is from RNAcentral.